AAGUCGUAACAAGGUUUCCGUAGGUGAACCUGCGGAAGGAUCAUUAUUGAAUUUAAUUUGCCUUGGUUGUCGCUGGCCUUCGGGCAUGUGCACGCCUCGGUUUAUCCAAGUUCUAUCACCACUGUGCACUAUUACAUGGGUUAUUGCAAGCCGGACUUUCAUUAGUUUGGUGGAAUAUAAUCCGUGGCUUUACAUUUAAACGAGUUAGUAUUAGAAUGUCAAUCGCGUUUAACGCAAUUAUAUACAACUUUCAGCAACGGAUCUCUUGGCUCUC
This 274-nucleotide unclassified non-coding RNA is filed under the name air metagenome. RNAcentral describes it as "partial contains small subunit ribosomal RNA, internal transcribed spacer 1, and 5.8S ribosomal RNA". The stretch from base 1 to 46 matches the Rfam family "Eukaryotic small subunit ribosomal RNA", at positions 1786 to 1831 of the family's 1831-position model. The record is from RNAcentral.